UACGAAGGGGGCUAGCGUUGUUCGGAUUUACUGGGCGUAAAGGGCGCGUAGGCGGGCUGAUCAGUCAGGGGUGAAAUCCCAAGGCUCAACCUUGGAACUGCCUUUGAUACUGUCGGUCUUGAGUUCGAGAGAGGUAAGUGGAACUGCGAGUGUAGAGGUGAAAUUCGUAGAUAUUCGCAAGAACACCAGUGGCGAAGGCGGCUUACUGGCGUCGAAACUGA
Molecule: ribosomal RNA, 221 nt
Filed under: uncultured bacterium
Lineage: Bacteria
Description: partial 16S ribosomal RNA
Rfam family: Bacterial small subunit ribosomal RNA
Source: RNAcentral